RNAcentral lists this ribosomal RNA (253 nucleotides) under uncultured bacterium. RNAcentral's name for it is "partial 16S ribosomal RNA". It matches the Rfam family "Bacterial small subunit ribosomal RNA", at positions 524 to 776 of the family's 1533-position model. The record is from RNAcentral.
UACGUAGGGUGCAAGCGUUGUCCGGAAUUACUGGGCGUAAAGAGCUCGUAGGUGGUUUGUCGCGUUGUUCGUGAAAACUCACAGCUCAACUGUGGGCGUGCGGGCGAUACGGGCAGACUUGAGUACUGCAGGGGAGACUGGAAUUCCUGGUGUAGCGGUGGAAUGCGCAGAUAUCGGGAGGAACACCAGUGGCGAAGGCGACUACCUGGCCUGUUCUUGACGCUGAGACGCGACAGCAUGGGGAGCGAACGGG